GACGAACGCUGGCGGCGUGCUUAACACAUGCAAGUCGAGCGGUAAGGCCCUUUCGGGGGUACACGAGCGGCGAACGGGUGAGUAACACGUGGGUGACCUGCCCUCAGCUCUGGGAUAAGCCUGGGAAACCGGGUCUAAUACCGGAUAUGACUCCAUGACGCAUGUUGUGGGGUGGAAAGCCUUGUGCGGCUGAGGAUGGGCCCGCGGCCUAUCAGCUUGUUGGUGGGGNGAUGGCCUACCAAGGCGACGACGGGUAGCCGGCCUGAGAGGGCGACCGGCCACACUGGGACUGAGACACGGCCCAGACUCCUACGGGAGGCAGCAGUGGGGAAUCUUGCGCAAUGAGCGAAAGCCUGACGCAGCGACGCCGCGUGAGGGAUGACGGCUC
RNAcentral lists this ribosomal RNA (388 nucleotides) under uncultured bacterium. RNAcentral's name for it is "bacterial SSU rRNA". It matches the Rfam family "Bacterial small subunit ribosomal RNA", at positions 28 to 417 of the family's 1533-position model. The record is from RNAcentral.